GCCGAGGUAGCUCAGUUGGUAGAGCAGCGGACUGAAAAUCCGCGUGUCGGCGGUUCGAUUCCGCCCCUUGGCACCA
This 76-nucleotide transfer RNA is filed under the name Pseudomonadota bacterium. RNAcentral describes it as "tRNA-Phe". It matches the Rfam family "tRNA". Rfam says of the family: Transfer RNA (tRNA) molecules are approximately 80 nucleotides in length. Their secondary structure includes four short double-helical elements and three loops (D, anti-codon, and T loops). Lineage: Bacteria; Pseudomonadati; Pseudomonadota. RNAcentral also lists the same sequence under 4 other names. The record is from RNAcentral.